CUCCGGGUUCUUGGCUCUGAUGGCUUUCAUGAGCAGCUCCAGUGGGACUCCGCGUCAAAUCUGUGGAUCCAGUGGAAGAUGUCCAGCCGCACUCCUGUUGUGCCCUGAGACCGGCAACACCCACGGUCCACGUAGAGGAGCUUCUGGACAGGCUGACUGGCCAGCCGGAACCUCUCCAUGACUCCACUGCACAUGGGCGUGAGCCGCGGAGUGGACUCCUCACAAGUCAGCACAAAGGUCACUAUCUGUGAGUGCUCGUUCCCAAUGCUGGUGAACCGCGACCUUCCCCACACAGCUUCUUG
Long non-coding RNA from Gasterosteus aculeatus aculeatus (three-spined stickleback), 302 nucleotides. The record is from Ensembl. Lineage: Eukaryota; Metazoa; Chordata; Actinopteri; Perciformes; Gasterosteidae.